Molecule: ribosomal RNA, 501 nt
Filed under: Triticum aestivum (bread wheat)
Lineage: Eukaryota; Viridiplantae; Streptophyta; Magnoliopsida; Poales; Poaceae
Description: partial small subunit ribosomal RNA
Source: RNAcentral
CCUGGUCCACGGCCGACACACUAGAUACCUCCACCGGAGGGAGCAGCUAAAAUUAACGUGGACGCCGCUGUUGGAAGAGGAGGAAGAUAUGGAGCUGUGGGAGCAAUAUGCAGAGACCGCUCAGGUGCUUUCCUGGGAGCUUCGGCAAUGGUGUUCAUGAGAAUCUCAGACCCAGCUACUCUUGAAUGCUUGGCGAUCAGGGAGUCUCUUUACCUGGCAGAUGAUCUGUACGAACAGAAGAUUCAAGUUGCUUCAGAUUGCAAGGUGGUCGUGGAAGAUGUCAGAGAAAGAAACCCGACUGUUUAUGGAGCACUGAUACAUGAAAUAUUAGAAUGUAAGGCUACUUUUCAAGCUUGUAAUUUUAAUCAUGAAUUUAGGAGCUCGAAUGUCGAGGCUCACAAACUCGCGAAGCAUGCUUUAUCGCUUUCAGCUGGCCGACAUGUGUGGUUAGGCCAGCCGGAUGGACUUUCCUUCGUCCGUGUAAACGUUGUGACGAGUUAA